AUGAACGCUGGCGGCGUGCCUAAUACAUGCAAGUCGAGCGAACAGACGAGGAGCUUGCUCCUCUGACGUUAGCGGCGGACGGGUGAGUAACACGUGGAUAACCUACCUAUAAGACUGGGAUAACUUCGGGAAACCGGAGCUAAUACCGGAUAAUAUAUUGAACCGCAUGGUUCAAUAGUGAAAGACGGUUUUGCGGUCACUUAUAGAUGGAUCCGCGCCGCAUUAGCUAGUUGGUAAGGUAACGGCUUACCAAGGCAACGAUGCGUAGCCGACCUGAGAGGGUGAUCGGCCACACUGGAACUGAGACACGGUCCAGACUCCUACGGGAGGCAGCAGUAGGGAAUCUUCCGCAAAGGGCGAAAGCCUGACGGAGCAACGCCGCGUGAGUGAUGAAGGUCUUCGGAUCGUAAAACUCUGUUAUUAGGGAAGAACAAAUGUGUAAGUAACUAUGCACGUCUUGACGGUACCUAAUCAGAAAGCCACGGCUAACUACGUG
RNAcentral lists this ribosomal RNA (496 nucleotides) under uncultured bacterium. Its description in RNAcentral is "partial 16S ribosomal RNA". It matches the Rfam family "Bacterial small subunit ribosomal RNA", at positions 29 to 507 of the family's 1533-position model. The record is from RNAcentral.